UACGAGAGGCGCAAACGUUAUUCGGAAUUACUGGGCUUAAAGAGUUCGUAGGCGGCGCAGAAAGUAGGGUGUGAAAGCCCUCGGCUCAACCGAGGAAUUGCGCUCUAAACUACUGUGCUUGAGGGACCUAGAGGUGAGCGGAACUGAUGGUGGAGCGGUGAAAUGCGUUGAUAUCAUCAGGAACACCGGAGGCGAAGGCGGCUCACUGGGGGUCUUCUGACGCUGAGGUGCGAAAGCGUGGGGAGCAAACAGG
RNAcentral lists this ribosomal RNA (253 nucleotides) under uncultured bacterium. RNAcentral describes it as "partial 16S ribosomal RNA". It matches the Rfam family "Bacterial small subunit ribosomal RNA", at positions 524 to 776 of the family's 1533-position model. The record is from RNAcentral.